Molecule: ribosomal RNA, 930 nt
Filed under: uncultured Bacillota bacterium
Lineage: Bacteria; Bacillati; Bacillota
Description: bacterial SSU rRNA
Rfam family: Bacterial small subunit ribosomal RNA
Source: RNAcentral
GGAUCCAGACUUUGAUUAUGGCUCAGGAUGAACGCUGGCGGCGCAUUUAAGACAUGCAAGUCGAACGAAAAUUUACGCUUAAAGAGUUGAUUAGUUUACUAAGAGAUGAUUUAUUGUAAAUUUUAGUGGCGGACUGGUGAGUAAUACAUAGGUAAUCUGCCUUUUAGAGGGGAAUAACUAGGAGAAAUCCUAGCUAAUACCGCGUAAGACCACACUUAGGCAUCUAAGAGAGGUCAAAGGAGUAAUCCGCUAAAAGAUGAGCCUGUGGCUGAUUAGUUAGUUGGUGGGGUAAGAGCCUACCAAGACGAUGAUCAGUAGCCGAGCUGAGAGGCUGGCCGGCCACAUUGGGACUGAGAUACGGCCCAGACUCCUACGGGAGGCAGCAGUUGGGAAUAUUGGACAAUGGAGGAAACUCUGAUCCAGUGACGCCGCGUGAAGGAAGAAGGUCUUCGGAUUGUAAACUUAUUUUAUCAGGGAAGAAGAAAGUGACAGUACCUGAAGAAAAAGGACCGGCAAACUACGUGCCAGCAGCCGCGGUAAUACGUAGGGUCCAAGCGUUAUCCGGAUUUACUGGGUGUAAAGGGCGAGUAGACGGCGCUGUAAGUCAGCUGUGAAAACUUAGGGCUCAACCUUAAGCCUGCAGCUGAAACUGUAGUGCUAGAGUGCAGGAGAGGUAAGCGGAAUUCCUAGUGUAGCGGUGAAAUGCGUAGAUAUUAGGAGGAACACCAGUGGCGAAGGCGGCUUACUGGACUGUAACUGACGUUGAGGCGCGAAAGUGUGGGGAGCAAACAGGAUUAGAUACCCUGGUAGUCCACACCGUAAACGAUGGAUACUAGGUGUAGGCGAGAUAUCGUCUGUGCCGGCGCAAACGCAAUAAGUAUCCCACCUGGGGAGUACGGCCGCAAGGUUGCAACUCAAAUGAAUUGACGG